UUGGAGGGCAAGUCUGKUGCCAGCAGCCGCGKUAAUUCCAGCUCCAAUAGCGUAUAUUAAAGUUGUUGCAGUUAAAAAGCUSGUAGUUGAAUUUCGGGAUCAAUUUGUUGGUCGUGCCUCGGUAMGUASUGGCAUUAUUGGUUUSUACCUUYUGAAGAACCUUGAUGUCAUUAAUUUGGUGUCUUGGGGAAUCAGGACUGUUACUUUGAAAAAAUUAGAGUGUUUAAAGCAGGCAUACGCUUGAAUACAUUAGCAUGGAAUAAUGAAAUAGGACGKUUGAUUCUAUUUUGUUGGUUUYUAGGAUCGACGUAAUGAUURAUAGGGAUAGUUGGGGGCAUUAGUAUUCAAUUGUCAGAGGUGAAAUUCUUGGAUUUAUUGAAGACUAACUACUGCGAAAGCAUUUGCCAWGGAUGUUUUCAUUAAUCAAGAACGAAAGUUAGGGGAUCGAAGACGAUCAGAUACCGUCGUAGUCUUAACCAUAAACUAUGCCGACUAGGGAUCGGAUGAUGUUAUUUUUAAUGACUCRWUCGGCGCCUUACGGGAAAC
This 546-nucleotide ribosomal RNA is filed under the name uncultured Glomeromycotina. RNAcentral describes it as "partial 18S small subunit ribosomal RNA". It matches the Rfam family "Eukaryotic small subunit ribosomal RNA", at positions 550 to 1109 of the family's 1831-position model. The record is from RNAcentral. Lineage: Eukaryota; Fungi; Glomeromycota.